This 253-nucleotide ribosomal RNA is filed under the name uncultured bacterium. RNAcentral's name for it is "partial 16S ribosomal RNA". It matches the Rfam family "Bacterial small subunit ribosomal RNA", at positions 524 to 776 of the family's 1533-position model. The record is from RNAcentral.
UACAGAGGUCUCAAGCGUUGUUCGGAUUCAUUGGGCGUAAAGGGUGCGUAGGCGGCGCGGUAAGUCGGGUGUGAAAUCUCGGAGCUUAACUCCGAAACUGCAUUCGAUACUGCCGUGCUUGAGGACGGGAGAGGAGACUGGAAUUUACGGUGUAGCGGUGAAAUGCGUAGAGAUCAUGAGGAAGACCAGUGGCGAAGGCGGGUCUCUGGACAGUUCCUGACACUGAGACACGAAGGCCAGGGGAGCAAACGGG